RNAcentral lists this transfer RNA (54 nucleotides) under Threskiornis aethiopicus (Sacred ibis). RNAcentral's name for it is "tRNA-Glu". The record is from RNAcentral. Lineage: Eukaryota; Metazoa; Chordata; Aves; Pelecaniformes; Threskiornithidae.
AUUUAACGGUGGCUUUUCAAGCCACAGAUCUUGGUGAGAGGCCGAGCGGGAAUU